GGUCCCUUCACUGCCUGGAAAUACUCUGGAAGAUAAUUAUGAUGAUGUGACAGAAGCUCCUGGACCAAAAGAUGAUCCUCUUUCUGAGCAGAAAGAACAGGAAAUCAUUGUGGUCAUUGAAGAAAGUAAAGGAAGCCGGGAUUCACAGACCGAUUGGAAUCCUAAUGCACCAGGAAACAGAACCUCUGAGGCUGAGAGAGAGGAUUUAUCCCCUCCUCUUGAAGAUACAGCUUAUGAUGAAAGUGAAGAGCUGGGACACUGACAAAGACUGCUGGACAAUACCAAACUCUUUUUGAAAUAGAUCUCUGUCUAUAAAAUGCUAAUCAGGUACUAGCAGAACCAGAGCAACCUUCACUUAGUAUUAGUUUACCUACCUUUUUUUUUUUCAGGAGAGGGAUCACAUAUUUAGAAGAAACACAAGUUUGACUGUUAAGAAAAUUUCUUAUUUCCCUUCUAAUUUCUUAUUGCCAUGUCUGCCUGGACAGUUUCUGCUUUUUAUUUCUAAAUAUUUUCACUGUUUUUUUUUUUUCCUACUGAGUUAAUAUUUCAACUUAUGAUAUUUCCUUAUUAAGAACUGUUUAAAGUGUUCAUAAUCUUGUACCAAGGACUAAGGCAGAAGAGGUUGGCACAGGGAUGAACUAAAUACUGUUUUAUAUUCACUGAGUAGCCUGGCAAACCUACACUUCUGUGUAUGUCUUGAUGGAGCACUGGAUGGAGCUUCCCCAUGGGAUCUUGUGAGAGUGCAAGAGUGCUUGUUAUUCUGUAAUGCAUAGGAUGUUUCAACUUGUCUGAUAUUAUUCUUUCUGAGCUAGGCUGAAAGUAGUGAGGAGGAAAUUCAAAAGGAAAGGCAAGUCUGGCAGAGACAAGGCACUUCAUUAGAAGAAAGCCUAAGGUAAAGCAACCACCUGGACAUCUAGCUCCAGGCAGGAGUGGUGUACUUCUUCCCUGGUUAAACCUACAUCACAGGAGGACCUGUCACAGGAACCAGGCCUGUAAGAAAAGAAGACUUGCUGGGUGCUUCUCCAGCAGUAUCAGUAAGACCUGACAGGCAGGCUAUGAGAUACAGAUGGAGGGAAACAAGUAGGUGGGAUUUGUACCUUGCGGAAUGCAAAAAGACACUUACAAGAGUAUGUACCAGCCCUCCUGUAAGUAAUAGAUCACUUCAAAGUAUUAAAUCAACAACCUAUAUUGGCUAUAGAGCAGUAGGAAACCUGAGAGAAUCAGGCUAAGGUCAAGGUGUCCUCAAAUUGAACCUUCAAACAUGUGAAAAAAUCGGGUAUAAAAGGAAAACACACC
Molecule: long non-coding RNA, 1296 nt
Filed under: Apteryx owenii (little spotted kiwi)
Lineage: Eukaryota; Metazoa; Chordata; Aves; Apterygiformes; Apterygidae
Description: lncRNA (ENSAOWG00000013145.1)
Source: RNAcentral